CUACGGAGGGUGCAAGCGUUACUCGGAAUCACUGGGCGUAAAGCGCGCGCAGGCGGCUUGAUAAGUUGGAUGUGAAAGCCUACGGCUCAACCGUAGAACUGCAUCCAAAACUGUCAGGCUAGAGUCUGGGAGGGGAAGAUGGAAUUAGUUGUGUAGGGGUAAAAUCCGUAGAGAUAACUAGGAAUACCAAAAGCGAAGGCGAUCUUCUGGAACAGUACUGACGCUGAGGCGCGAAAGCGUGGGGAGCAAACAGGAUUAGAAACCCCUGUAGUCC
Molecule: ribosomal RNA, 274 nt
Filed under: uncultured bacterium
Lineage: Bacteria
Description: partial 16S ribosomal RNA
Rfam family: Bacterial small subunit ribosomal RNA
Source: RNAcentral